This 430-nucleotide ribosomal RNA is filed under the name Acidobacteriota bacterium. RNAcentral describes it as "Acidobacteria bacterium partial 16S ribosomal RNA". It matches the Rfam family "Bacterial small subunit ribosomal RNA", at positions 355 to 776 of the family's 1533-position model. Lineage: Bacteria; Pseudomonadati; Acidobacteriota. The record is from RNAcentral.
UGGGGAAUAUUGGACAAUGGGCGAAAGCCUGAUCCAGCCAUGCCGCGUGUGUGAAGAAGGCCUUUUGGUUGUAAAGCACUUUAAGCGAGGAGGAGGCUGCUUGGAUUAAUACUCUAGGAUAGUGGACGUUACUCGCAGAAUAAGCACCGGCUAACUCUGUGCCAGCAGCCGCGGUAAUACAGAGGGUGCGAGCGUUAAUCGGAUUUACUGGGCGUAAAGCGUGCGUAGGCGGCUUCUUAAGUCGGAUGUGAAAUCCCUGAGCUUAACUUAGGAAUUGCAUUCGAUACUGGGAAGCUAGAGUAUGGGAGAGGAUGGUAGAAUUCCAGGUGUAGCGGUGAAAUGCGUAGAGAUCUGGAGGAAUACCGAUGGCGAAGGCAGCCAUCUGGCCUAAUACUGACGCUGAGGUACGAAAGCAUGGGGAGCAAACAGG